GAUGAACGCUAGCGGCAGGCUUAAUACAUGCAAGUCGAGGGGCAUCAAGGUACACGAAAGUGUAUUGUUGGCGACCGGCGGACGGGUGAGUAAUAGGUAGGUAACCUACCUCAUACUGAGGCAUAGCUGGGAGAAAUUCCAGGUAAUUCCUCAUGAGGUUAUAUGACACAUGUGAUAUAAUCAAAGGUAUCGCAAGGUACUGGUAUGAGAUGGGCUUACUGACCAUUAGCUAGUUGGUGAGAUAAGAGCUCACCAAGGCGAAGAUGGUUAGGGGUUUUGAGAGAGAGAUCCCCCACAUUGGAACUGAGAUACGGGUCCAGACUCCUACGGGAGGCAGCAGUAGGGAAUAUUGGGCAAUGGGCGGAAGCCUGACCCAGCCAUGCCGCGUGAAGGAAGACGGCCUUAUGGGUUGUAAACUUCCUUACUAUGCGACUAACUAGAUUUACGAGAUAAUUCUAUAGAAUGUAGCAUAGCAAAAAGCACCGGA
Molecule: ribosomal RNA, 487 nt
Filed under: uncultured bacterium
Lineage: Bacteria
Description: bacterial SSU rRNA
Rfam family: Bacterial small subunit ribosomal RNA
Source: RNAcentral